UGAGGGGUACGCGACUGGCGAUAGGCGCGCGGCCCUUGCGGGCCGGCUGUGCUGACGUGGGACACCACAGGGAAGCGUGCCGCGGAACCACCCUGGUUUCCGUGUUCAGCCGUUCGCCUGGGCAGCCCCC
Molecule: non-coding RNA, 130 nt
Filed under: Curvibacter sp.
Lineage: Bacteria; Pseudomonadati; Pseudomonadota; Betaproteobacteria; Burkholderiales; Comamonadaceae
Description: ZTP sequence
Rfam family: ZMP/ZTP riboswitch aptamer (pfl RNA motif)
About the family: Previously known as pfl RNA. ZMP is also known as AICAR.
Source: RNAcentral